Molecule: ribosomal RNA, 500 nt
Filed under: uncultured Pseudomonadota bacterium
Lineage: Bacteria; Pseudomonadati; Pseudomonadota
Description: bacterial SSU rRNA
Rfam family: Bacterial small subunit ribosomal RNA
Source: RNAcentral
UGAAGAAGGCCUUCGGGUUGUAAAGCACUUUCGGCCGGAACGAAAUCGUCUCCGUUAAUACCGGGGAUGGAUGACGGUACCGGAAGAAGAAGCACCGGCUAACUACGUGCCAGCAGCCGCGGUAAUACGUAGGGUGCGGAGCGUUAAUCGGAAUUACUGGGCGUAAAGUGUGCGCAGGUGGCCGCGCAAGUCGAGUGUGAAAUCCCCGGGCUUAACUUGGGAAUUGCGCUCGAAACUACGUGGCUAGAGUGUGGCAGAGGAAGGUGGAAUUCCACGUGUAGCGGUGAAAUGCGUAGAGAUGUGGAGGAACACCGAUGGCGAAGGCAGCCUUCUGGGCCAACACUGACGCUCAUGCACGAAAGCGUGGGGAGCAAACAGGAUUAGAUACCCUGGUAGUCCACGCCCUAAACGAUGAUGACUAGUUGUUGGGGGAGUUAAAUCCCUUAGUAACGCAGCUAACGCGUGAAGUCAUCCGCCUGGGGAGUACGGUCGCAAGAUUA